UCCACGCCCUAAACGAUGUAUGCUUGGUGUUGGGAGUUCUGCUCUCAGUGCCGGAGGUAACCCGUUAAGCAUACCACCUGGGGAGUACGAUCGCAAGGUUGAAACUCAAAGGAAUUGACGGGGGCCCGCACAAGCGGUGGAUCAUGUGGUUUAAUUCGAUGCAACGCGAAGAACCUUACCCGGGCUUGAAGUGUAGGUAGUAAAGAGACGAAAGUCGAAUGAACCGUUAAGCC
This 233-nucleotide ribosomal RNA is filed under the name uncultured bacterium. Its description in RNAcentral is "partial 16S ribosomal RNA". It matches the Rfam family "Bacterial small subunit ribosomal RNA", at positions 794 to 1029 of the family's 1533-position model. The record is from RNAcentral.